UGGGGUGUGGCUCAGUGGUAGAGUGUUCGCCUAGCACGAGUGAGACACUGGGUUCAAUCCUCAACAUCACAU
This 72-nucleotide transfer RNA is filed under the name Marmota monax (woodchuck). RNAcentral describes it as "tRNA.Ala". Lineage: Eukaryota; Metazoa; Chordata; Mammalia; Rodentia; Sciuridae. The record is from RNAcentral.